Molecule: ribosomal RNA, 396 nt
Filed under: uncultured bacterium
Lineage: Bacteria
Description: partial 16S ribosomal RNA
Rfam family: Bacterial small subunit ribosomal RNA
Source: RNAcentral
UACGUAGGGGGCGAGCGUUGUCCGGAAUUACUGGGCGUAAAGGGUGCGUAGGUGGCACUUUAAGUUGGAUGUGAAAUCCCCGUGCUUAACAUGGGAGCUGCAUCCAAUACUGGAGAGCUAGAGUGCAGGAGAGGUAAGCGGAAUUCCUAGUGUAGCGGUGAAAUGCGUAGAUAUUAGGAGGAACACCAGUGGCGAAGGCGGCUUACUGGACUGUAACUGACACUGAGGCACGAAAGCGUGGGGAGCAAACAGGAUUAGAUACCCUGGUAGUCCACGCUGUAAACGAUGAAUACUAGGUGUAGGGGGUAUCAACUCCCUCUGUGCCGCAGCAAACGCAAUAAGUAUUCCGCCUGGGGAGUACGGCCGCAAGGUUGAAACUCAAAUGAAUUGACGGGG